GCUCCCGUGGUGAAAUGGAUAUCACAUCAGUCUUCGGAACUGACGUUCCAGGUUCGAAUCCUGGCGGGAGCACCA
Molecule: transfer RNA, 75 nt
Filed under: Candidatus Kaiserbacteria bacterium
Lineage: Bacteria; Candidatus Kaiseribacteriota
Description: tRNA-Arg
Rfam family: tRNA
About the family: Transfer RNA (tRNA) molecules are approximately 80 nucleotides in length. Their secondary structure includes four short double-helical elements and three loops (D, anti-codon, and T loops).
Source: RNAcentral